UACGGAAGGCAGCAGUGGGGAAUAUUGCACAAUGGGCGCAAGCCUGAUGCAGCGACGCCGCGUGAGGGAUGACGGCCUUCGGGUUGUAAACCUCUUUCAGUAGGGAAGAAGCGAAAGUGACGGUACCUGCAGAAGAAGCACCGGCUAACUACGUGCCAGCAGCCGCGGUAAUACGUAGGGUGCGAGCGUUAUCCGGAAUUAUUGGGCGUAAAGAGCUCGUAGGCGGUUUUGUCGCGUCUGUCGUGAAAGUCCGGGGCUUAACCCCGGAUCUGCGGUGGGUACGGGCAGACUAGAGUGCAGUAGGGGAGACUGGAAUUCCUGGUGUAGCGGUGGAAUGCGCAGAUAUCAGGAGGAACACCGGAUGGCGAAGGCAGGUCUCUGGGCUGUAACUGACGCUGAGGAGCGAAAGCAUGGGGAGCGAACAGGGAUUAGAUACC
Molecule: ribosomal RNA, 437 nt
Filed under: uncultured bacterium
Lineage: Bacteria
Description: bacterial SSU rRNA
Rfam family: Bacterial small subunit ribosomal RNA
Source: RNAcentral